AGAGAGAGACAUGCGCGCAUAUCCAAUAAGCGGAGGAAAAGAAACUAACUAGGAUUCCCUCAGUAACGGCGAGUGAAGCGGGAAGAGCUCAAAUUUGAAAUCUUCAAGGUUCUACCUUGACGAAUUGUAGUUUAAAGAAGUGUUUUCUGUUGGAGUUUUGGUAAAAGUUCUUUGGAAUAGGACAUCAUAGAGGGUGAGAAUCCCGUAUUUGACCAUUAUUUCCAGCUUUGUGAUACACUUUCAAAGAGUCGGAUUGUUUGGGAAUGCAGUCCAAAAUAGGGUGGUAAAUUUCAUCUAAAGCUAAAUACUUGGCGAGAGACCGAUAGCGAACAAGUACCGUGAGGGAAAGAUGAAAAGAACUUUGAAAAGAGAGUUAAACAGUACGUGAAAUUGUCAAAAGGGAAGCGUUUGACACCAGUGUUGUCUUUCUCGAAAAUCAAUUAAAAAAGGCAGGAUUUUGUGUUGUAUUGACUUUAUCAGCUUUCUGCACUCUUUUCUUGUCUUUUUUAAUGCACUUUUCGUUUAACAAGUCAACAUCAAUUUCUUUUGUUGUAAAAGGGUCAUUGGAAGGUGGCUUUCUUUUCGGAGAAAGUGUUUAUAGCCUUUGGCCUCUGCAAUCGGAGAGAUUGAGGUCUGCAGCGUAGAUCCUUCGGGGUUAGAUACAUUUGUGCUAAGUUAUAGCCUUUCAUAGACAACUUGUUGACUAUGAUCAGUCAUGUAGCUUACUCGCUUAUGCUAUUUUACCUACGCUUAGGAUGUUGAUGUGAUACUGCGAGCA
Molecule: ribosomal RNA, 778 nt
Filed under: uncultured Neocallimastigales
Lineage: Eukaryota; Fungi; Neocallimastigomycota; Neocallimastigomycetes; Neocallimastigales
Description: partial large subunit ribosomal RNA
Rfam family: Eukaryotic large subunit ribosomal RNA
Source: RNAcentral